GACGAACGCUGGCGGCGUGCCUAAUACAUGCAAGUAGAACGCAGUUGCGAACGGGUGAGUAACGAGUAGGUAACUGCCUAAUAGCGGGGGAUAACUAUUGGAAACGAUAGCUCAUACCGCAUACUGUGAGAUGGACCUGCGUUGUCUUAGCUAGUUGGUGAGGUAAAGGCUCACCAAGGCGACGAUACAUAGCCGACCUGAGAGGGUGAGCGGCCACACUGGGACUGAGAACCUGUCCAGCCUCCUACGGUAGGCAGCAGUGGGGAAUAUGGGACAAUGGGCGAAAGCCUGAUGCAGCCAUGCCGCGUGUAUGAAGAAGGCCUGCGGGUUUGAAAGUACUUUCAGCGAGGAGGCGUUACUCGCAGAAGAAGCACCGGCUAACUCCGUGCCAGCAGCCGCGGUAAUAC
RNAcentral lists this ribosomal RNA (407 nucleotides) under uncultured bacterium. Its description in RNAcentral is "partial 16S ribosomal RNA". It matches the Rfam family "Bacterial small subunit ribosomal RNA", at positions 28 to 526 of the family's 1533-position model. The record is from RNAcentral.